Molecule: unclassified non-coding RNA, 409 nt
Filed under: soil metagenome
Description: partial contains 5.8S ribosomal RNA, internal transcribed spacer 2, and large subunit ribosomal RNA
Rfam family: 5.8S ribosomal RNA (bases 1-120)
Source: RNAcentral
GAUGAAGAACGCAGCGAAAUGCGAUAAUUAAUAUGAAUUGCAGAAUUCAGUGAAUCAUCGAGUCUUUGAACGCACAUUGCGCCCUCUGGUAAUCCGGAGGGCAUGUCCGACCGAGCGUCACUAGAACCGCCCGAGCUCCCGCCCCACACGGGGCGGGGCCCGGUGUUGGGGACCGCGGGGCAGCCUCGCUGCAAUCCCGCGGCCCUGAAAAGCAGCGGCGGCCCCAUCGCGGCAAGCCCCCCAGCGGAGUAGAACCUUACCUCGCCCGGAGGCGUCGCGCACUAGGCGGGCCCGGCCACUAGGAGGGAGAGUGCCCCGGCACAAACCCCCCGAACCCCCUUACAUACCCGGUUGGCCUCGGGUCGGACAAGAUUACCCGCUGAACUUAAGCAUAUCAAUAAGCGGAGGA